RNAcentral lists this ribosomal RNA (506 nucleotides) under uncultured bacterium. Its description in RNAcentral is "bacterial SSU rRNA". It matches the Rfam family "Bacterial small subunit ribosomal RNA", at positions 8 to 502 of the family's 1533-position model. The record is from RNAcentral.
AGAGUUUGAUCCUGGCUCAGAACGAACGCUGGCGGCAGGCCUAACACAUGCAAGUCGAGCGCAAUCCUUCGGGAUCGAGCGGCGGACGGGUGAGUAACACGUGGGUAACCUGCCCGAAGGUGGGGGAUAACCCUCCGAAAGGAGGGCUAAUACCGCAUGAUAUCUCGAGGGCCUCGGCUCUCGAGAUCAAAGCUAGCCUCUACAUGUAAGCUAGCGCCAUCGGAGGGGCCCGCGGCCCAUUAGUUUGUUGGUGAGGUAACGGCUCACCAAGGCUACGAUGGGUAGCCGGCCUGAGAGGGCGAUCGGCCACACUGGAACUGAGACACGGUCCAGACUCCUACGGGAGGCAGCAGUGAGGAAUCUUGCGCAAUGGGGGAAACCCUGACGCAGCGACGCCGCGUGGAGGACGAAGGCCUUCGGGUCGUAAACUCCUGUCAAGCGGGACGAAAGCCGGAGGGAUGAAUAAGCCUUUCGGUUGACGGUACCGCUGAGAAGCCCCGCUAACU